RNAcentral lists this ribosomal RNA (560 nucleotides) under uncultured archaeon. Its description in RNAcentral is "bacterial SSU rRNA". It matches the Rfam family "Archaeal small subunit ribosomal RNA", at positions 1 to 560 of the family's 1478-position model. The record is from RNAcentral.
UCCGGUUGAUCCUGCCGGAAGCCACUGCUAUGGGGGUCCGACUAAGCCAUGCGAGUCAUGGGGCGCCUUGCGCGCACCGGCGGACGGCUCAGUAACACGUCGGUAACCUACCCUCGGGAGGGGGAUAACCCCGGGAAACUGGGGCUAAUCCCCCGUAGGCCUGAGGUACUGGAAGGUCCUCAGGCCGAAAGGGUCUUUGACCGCCCGAGGAUGGGCCGGCGGCCGAUUAGGUAGUUGGUGGGGUAACGGCCCACCAAGCCGAAGAUCGGUACGGGCCAUGAGAGUGGGAGCCCGGAGAUGGACACUGAGACACGGGUCCAGGCCCUACGGGGCGCAGCAGGCGCGAAACCUCCGCAAUGCUCGAAAGAGCGACUGGGGGACCCCCAGUGCCGUGGCAUCGCCACGGCUUUUCCGGAGUGUAAAGAGCUCCGGGAAUAAGGGCUGGGCAGGGCCGGUGGCAGCCGCCGCGGUAAUACCGGCGGCCCGAGUGGUGGCCGCUAUUAUUGGGCCUAAAGCGUCCGUAGCCGGGCCAGUAAGUCCCUGGCGAAAUCCCACGGCUC